This 334-nucleotide ribosomal RNA is filed under the name uncultured bacterium. RNAcentral describes it as "bacterial SSU rRNA". It matches the Rfam family "Bacterial small subunit ribosomal RNA", at positions 32 to 342 of the family's 1533-position model. The record is from RNAcentral.
AAUCAACGCUGGCGGCGUGCCUCAGACAUGCAAGUCGAACGCGAAAGGCCCCUUCGGGGGCCCGGUAGAGUGGCGCACGGGUGAGUAACACGUAGGUAAUUUGCCUUCGGGUGGGGAAGUAACAGCCGGAAACGGCUGCUAAUAACCGCAUAAUGCAGCGGCUCGACAUCGAGACAGUUGUUAAAGCGGGGGAGUCGCAAGACCUCGCGCCUGAAGAGAAGCCUGCGGCAGANAGUCUUGUUGGUGAGGUAAUGGCUCACCAAGGCGACGAUCUGUAACCGGCCUGAGAGGGCGGUCGGUCACACUGACACUGACAUACGGGUCAGACUCCUAC